CCUACGGGCGGCAGCAGUGGGGAAUAUUGCACAAUGGGGGAAACCCUGAUGCAGCGACGCCGCGUGAGUGAAGAAGUAUUUCGGGAUUUAAAACUCUAUCAGCAGGGAAGAAAAUGACGGUACCUGAUUAAGAAGCCCCAGCUCACUACGUGCCAGCAGCGGCUGUAAUACGUAGGGGGACAGCGUUAACCGGGUGUCCUGGGUGUAAAGGGAGCGUAGACGGCAGCGCAAGUCUGAAGUGAAAUGCCGUGUCUUAAACCCGGGACUGCUUUGGAAACUGUGCGGCUAGAGUGCAGGAGAGGUAAGUGGAAUUCGUAGUGUAGCGGUGAAAUGCGUAGAUAUUAGGAGGAACACCAGUGGCGAAGGCGGCUUACUGGACUGUAACUGACGUUGAGGCUCGAAAGCGUGGGGAGCAAACAGGAUUAGAUACCCCAGUAGUC
This 440-nucleotide ribosomal RNA is filed under the name uncultured bacterium. RNAcentral describes it as "partial 16S ribosomal RNA". It matches the Rfam family "Bacterial small subunit ribosomal RNA", at positions 338 to 795 of the family's 1533-position model. The record is from RNAcentral.